This 29-nucleotide non-coding RNA is filed under the name Bombyx mori (domestic silkworm). Lineage: Eukaryota; Metazoa; Arthropoda; Insecta; Lepidoptera; Bombycidae. The record is from RNAcentral.
UGAUAAGAAACAUCAAUUUCAGCAUCUUC